AGUGAACGCUGGCGGUAGGCCUAACACAUGCAAGUCGAACGGCAGCACAGUAAGAGCUUGCUCUUACGGGUGGCGAGUGGCGGACGGGUGAGGAAUACAUCGGAAUCUACUUUUUCGUGGGGGAUAACGUAGGGAAACUUACGCUAAUACCGCAUACGACCUACGGGUGAAAGCAGGGGAUCUUCGGACCUUGCGCGAUUGAAUGAGCCGAUGUCGGAUUAGCUAGUUGGCGGGGUAAAGGCCCACCAAGGCGACGAUCCGUAGCUGGUCUGAGAGGAUGAUCAGCCACACUGGAACUGAGACACGGUCCAGACUCCUACGGGAGGAAGCAGUGGGGAAUAUUAGACAAUGGGCGCAAGCCUGAUCCAGCCAUACCGCGUGGGUGAAGAAGGCCUUCGGGUUGUAAAGCCCUUUUGUUGGGAAAGAAAAGCAGCAGGUUAAUACCCCGCUGUUCUGACGGUACCCAAAGAAUAAGCACCGGCUAACUUCGUG
Molecule: ribosomal RNA, 492 nt
Filed under: uncultured bacterium
Lineage: Bacteria
Description: partial 16S ribosomal RNA
Rfam family: Bacterial small subunit ribosomal RNA
Source: RNAcentral